UACGGGGGGGGGGCAAGCGUUGUUCGGAAUUACUGGGCGUAAAGGGCCCGUAGGCGGCCAACUAAGUCAGACGUGAAAUCCCUCGGCUUAACCGGGGAACUGCGUCUGAUACUGGAUGGCUUGAGUUCGGGAGAGGGAUGCGGAAUUCCAGGUGUAGCGGUGAAAUGCGUAGAUAUCUGGAGGAACACCGGUGGCGAAGGCGGCAUCCUGGACCGACACUGACGCUGAGGAGCGAAAGCCAGGGGAGCAAACGGG
RNAcentral lists this ribosomal RNA (255 nucleotides) under uncultured bacterium. Its description in RNAcentral is "partial 16S ribosomal RNA". It matches the Rfam family "Bacterial small subunit ribosomal RNA", at positions 522 to 776 of the family's 1533-position model. The record is from RNAcentral.